AUUAAGUUCCCUCUGUAUGCAGAAUAUUGUGCAACAUGGUUAUGGGUACUACAGUGGAUGUGAGUGUGUAGACCUUGUACAAUAGAGCUUAUAGGCUAAUGAGAAGACAGGAAGAAACAACAGGAACACAUAUAGCUGGAAUGCAGAUGGGAUCUGUGCUACUUACGCUAGCCAUGGGAUGAUUAGAACAAGAUAAGAGACAUGAGGAAGACUUCUUCAAGGAGGUGCUCAAGCCAUGUUUUGGAAAAGAGAACUCAAGGUCUGGCAGGGAGAAAGGAGCAAGGUCCUCUUCUCCCUGAAGGCUGUCACAGUUCCUGUGCAGAGAGAGAGGGCACUGCAGCACCCAGGCGCUGACUGCCUUUUGUCAGUCUCAUUUGCAGGCCCCCAGCUGGAGAACCCAGGAGGAAGAGGAAAAAAGUUUUUUCCUCCUCUACACUCCCCAUGCAUGACUAAAGAGUAGGAGGAGUCAGCAAGGCAGACAUAUAUAGUACCCAGGAGGUGGACAAACAACUGCCUUGGUGGAAACUCUGUCCUUUCUGGACUUAUCCUGGUGCCACUGAGACUGUGCAGAUUUAGAUCUACAAUCCACCUGGAAUUGAUUUUUGUAUAUGGAGUGAGGUCCCACACUUACAGGGAAAGCAUCACCCGAAAGUGAGAAUGCCUAGAGGCAGGAAUCAUGGAGGCUUCCUUAACCGUCUGUCUGCAACAGCAGGUGCUAGAGAUGACACUGCAGAGUAGAGAACAAAGGAAUCUUAGUAAUUGUUCAAUCCAAUCUCCACACUUUAAAGAUGAAGAAACUGGUAUUGAGAAAAAUACACAGCUUAUCCAAGGUUGCACUGCUGGUUGGUAGCUGAGAUGAAUUUAGAACCCACAUCUGAUGACUACACCAUAUUGCUCCCAGUUUUCCUGUCUGUUCCACAUGUAAAAGUCUGACUCUUCACUUCUCCUUUGAGUAUAUAGACUUUUAACAUUUUUGUAUGUCAAGAUGGACUUUUCCUCAUACCCAGCCCCUGCCUUUUCUCCUCCCUUCAUACCUUGCAGGAUCUUUAACAGAAUUUAAAAGGAGUUUUUUGUUUUGUUUUGAUGUAUCUAAUAAAAGUCAAGGGAGGGAGAGGGCCAGUAUAAGCAAGAGUACAGUUUCCUAGUUUGUAGAUGCGGUAGUCUGAGGAAUCAGAAACACACAAAGGUUUGGAGAACUGGUACAUGCUCCCAGGUGGGAAGCCAGGACUCUUGGUAGGAUCUUGAGGACAAGGCAAAGGACAAUAAGAGAGCGAGGGGAUCCUAGAGGUGGAAUCAAGGAAGAGAAACUAGAGAGAGAAAAAGGAACUGGCUAUCCAUCCAUGAUGGAUCCUGUGUGGACUGAUGGGUGGCUUGGCAUCAUCCUUUAGUAGACUUCAUGUGGUUGAAUAAUUGGCCAAUGGAAGGAAUUUCUUUUUUGGUAACAGACUCUGUGUGUACAGUUAUGGGUCUUAAUUUAUAAUAAAAGGUUACAUUGAAAAUUGAAAAAAAAAAAAAAAAAAAAAAAA
RNAcentral lists this long non-coding RNA (1526 nucleotides) under Homo sapiens (human). Its description in RNAcentral is "long independently transcribed non-coding RNA 2532 (LINC02532)". Lineage: Eukaryota; Metazoa; Chordata; Mammalia; Primates; Hominidae. The record is from RNAcentral.